This 70-nucleotide transfer RNA is filed under the name Loxodonta africana (African savanna elephant). It matches the Rfam family "tRNA". From Rfam's summary of the family: Transfer RNA (tRNA) molecules are approximately 80 nucleotides in length. Their secondary structure includes four short double-helical elements and three loops (D, anti-codon, and T loops). Further hydrogen bonds mediate the characteristic L-shaped molecular structure. tRNAs have two regions of fundamental functional importance: the anti-codon, which is responsible for specific mRNA codon recognition, and the 3' end, to which the tRNAs corresponding amino acid is attached (by aminoacyl-tRNA synthetases). tRNAs cope with the degeneracy of the genetic code in two manners: having more than one tRNA (with a specific anti-codon) for a particular amino acid; and 'wobble' base-pairing, i.e. permitting non-standard base-pairing at the 3rd anti-codon position. Lineage: Eukaryota; Metazoa; Chordata; Mammalia; Proboscidea; Elephantidae. The record is from Rfam by way of RNAcentral.
GCAGUGAUGGUUCAGUGGUAGAAUUCUCGUCUUCCAUGCUGAGACCCAGGUUCGACUCCUGGCCAAGGCA